Molecule: long non-coding RNA, 2805 nt
Filed under: Sus scrofa (pig)
Lineage: Eukaryota; Metazoa; Chordata; Mammalia; Artiodactyla; Suidae
Description: lncRNA (ENSSSCG00005018528.1)
Source: RNAcentral
GGACAUAGACCUGCGCCAUCCCACACAGUUUAUGGCCCUCAGCUGUGACCCCGCAAUGUGGCAGAAACGUGUUUCGAGAUCCAAUAGAGGAAAUGCUCGAGUCUUCACCAGAGACGUCUAACUCAUCUUCACCAAGCGUUAAUGCUGUUUCUCUCUUAAUUGUGGGCUUUGGGAUGCUGAACUUUUUUUUUUAAUAUGCCUUUUUGGUAUUGCCACAAGUUUUAAAUGUGCAUGAAUCACUUAAAAAAAAAAUUGGGGAGCUCCUGCUGUGGCAUAGCAGAAACAAAUCCGACUAGGAACCAUGAGGUUGUGGGUUCAAUCCCAGGCCUUGCUCAGUGGGUUAAGGAUCUGGCAUUGCCGUGAGCUGUGGUGUCGGUCGUAGACGCGGCUCGGAUCCCGUGUUGCUGUGGCUGUGGUGUAGGCCGGCAGCUAUAGCUCAGAUUCGACCCCUAGCCUGGGAACCUCCAUAUGCCACGGGUGCGGCCCUAAAAAAAAAGACAAAACAAACCCACACAACAUCAAUUACCUUAAAAACUUGAGGGAGCUCUGGAGGAAAAAAGCAGACUUAAGUUACGAGAAAGAUUUUUGAUUUGUAUUUAUCCUAGAAAAUCGAUCAGACCACAUACUGACAUCUUCAUCUCCUCAGCUUGCUUUCUCGUCUGAAGAGCCGGCGGGCAGGACCCAGGCUGUGUGAGGACCGUCACUGGGCCCGGGGUCCUCUUCGUCCCGUCUCUCGCCAGCCCCUGCCCAGCCCUCCCCCGCAUCCCCAGGCGUUCGUCUUAGAAACAGUCAGUGACACCUCUGCCUCUGCACCCUCGCGCCUGCGGACCCGGGGUGUGGACGGGUUGCCCUGGUCUUCUUCCCAGCGUGGGCCUCAGCUUCUGGCCCCUGGGCCGUGAAAUGAACUCUGAGGCGGAGCUCGGGCCACCAGCUCACCUUGCGUAACUUGGGUGGGCAGGACCAAUUUGUCACCACAGAAGCCAAGGACGUCUGCGGAUCCUGAGGCCCGGGAAGCAUCCGAGAAUAGCAAUUAGGGUAAAUACGGGAGAAUGAUGAGAAAGACGUGUGUGAACGUUCCUGGAAGACCUUAUCGAAAACCUAAACAGGAGGAGAAACAGGCCACGUGCGCGGCGGGAAGAUCCAAUCUGGGGGGGGGGGGGAUUCCUCUCCAAACCGGCCUCUGCGCUGGGUGUGCGCCCACUUGCAUCCCAGCAGGUGUCUGGGAGAAGUGACGUGGACAAGGUGAUUCAGAAUGUAGAACAAUUCCCAGGAGAAGAACGGCCAAGCCUCGAGGAAGGAGGAGGAGGGAAGCGGGCGGGUGGGGGUGGGCACAGGGAACGCGAGGCCCCUGUCUGUGGCGUGUUAGACUGUUACUCAAAGCUGUAUUAAUCAAUUCCAUGCUGUGUGGGGCAGGAAUAGACAAACGGGGGGAAACAGGAAGGACGUGUGUGCCCAGCCACACGUUCAGAGCAGUGGGGGGAGAGCGCUUGUGUUCAAAAAAGCAGGAUAUCACAUGUCAGAUGUAAUCAUAUAAAAUUGUAUUGUACUCCACUCCCCCACCCCAAAUCAGGAAACAACUCAAAUGUCCCUCAACAGGGGCAUGGUCAAAUGGAUCAAUACAUUUCAGUAGGAGUCCCCGUCGUGGUGGAGCAGAAACGAAUCUGACUAGGAACCAGGAGGUGGAUUCCAACAGGUGUCGGAAGGCAUGAUCAAUGAGCCAUGCAAUCUGAAAACCAGAAAAAACACGGGGAAUAAAAACCUGGACAGGGAGUUCCUGUUGUGGCUCAGUGGGUUAAGAACCUGAUGUAGUCUCUGUAAGGAUGCAGGUUUGAUCCCUGGCCUUGUUCAGUGGGUUGAGGAUUCAGCAUUGCUGCAAGCUGUGGUGCAGGUCACAGAUGUGGCUCUGAUCUGGUGUUGCUGUGCCUGUGGUGUAGGCUGGCAGCUUACAGCUCCAAUUUGAACCCUAGCCUGGGAACUUCCAUAUGCCAUAGGUAAGAUUAAAAAAAAACAAAAAACCACAAAAACAUAAAAACAUGGGCAUUCCCAUCGUGGCUCAGCGGAAACGGAAACGAAUCUGACUAGCAUCCAUGAGGAUGCAGGUCUGAUCCCUGGCCUCGCUCAGUGGGUUAAGAAUCAGUGUUGCCAUGAGCUGUGGUGUAGGUCACAGAUGCAGCUCGGAUCCCACGUUGCUGUGGCUGUGGUGUAGGCCGGCAUCUACAGCUCCAAUUCAACCCUUAGCCUGGGAACCUCCAUAUGCUGCGGGUGUGGCCAUAAAAAGACAAAAUACAAAAACAAACCCACAAAAACAUGGACAGAGUCUCACUGACCUAUAGGACAAUAUCAAGCAGCACAGUACAAAUUCAGAGGAAUCCAGGAGGAGAGGAGCAAGAAUGAGCAGGACAAAUAUGCUGGAAGAAUGGGAAAAUUACCCAGAUUUUGUGAAAAGUAUAAACUUACAGGUCAAAAAAACCUUAGCAAACUGUACGCAGGAUAACUGUAAGGAAAACUACUCCCAGGCAAAUCAUAGUCAGGUUGCUGAGACCAAAGAGGAAGAGAAGGCCUUGGAGGCAGCCAGAGGGAAAGGACAGUUGCACGCAAGUUCCCACUGUGGCCCAGCGGCAGCCACCCCGAUUGGUAUCCGUGAAGAUGUGGGUUCAGCCCCUGGCCUCACUCAGGGGGUUAAGGAUCUGGCGUUGCUGUGGCGUAGGCCGGCAGCUGUAGCUCUGACUAGACUCCUAACGGGGGACCUCCACAUGCUGCGGGUGCAGCCCUAAAAAGCAAAAAAAAAAAAAAAAAAAAAAAAAA